RNAcentral lists this ribosomal RNA (216 nucleotides) under uncultured bacterium. RNAcentral describes it as "partial 16S ribosomal RNA". It matches the Rfam family "Bacterial small subunit ribosomal RNA", at positions 118 to 351 of the family's 1533-position model. The record is from RNAcentral.
UGGGAACGUACCCUUUGGUUCGGAACAACCCAGGGAAACUUGGGCUAAUACCGGAUAAGUCCGUAAGGAGAAAGAUUUAUCGCCAAAGGAUCGGCCCGCGUCUGAUUAGCUAGUUGGUAGGGUAAUGGCCUACCAAGGCUACGAUCAGUAGCUGGUCUGAGAGGAUGAUCAGCCACAUUGGGGCUGAGACACGGCCCAAACUCCUACGGGAGGCAG